Paramuricea clavata is the source of this 214-nucleotide non-coding RNA. The record is from the annotation of a GenBank genome assembly. Lineage: Eukaryota; Metazoa; Cnidaria; Anthozoa; Malacalcyonacea; Plexauridae.
CUUUGAAAUGCCAGCGUAUGAGUACCGUACAUCUGGCGUACCUCUAGCGUAUUCAGUGUGUGCCUAGAGUAUGCUUAUCGUAUAAAGCAUACGUCCGAUACGCACAAAAUUUUUGAGCAUGCUUAAAAAAUAUUUUCUUCCUCGCCGUAUGCCAGCGUAUGCCACCGUACGCGACCGUGCUUGAAACGUAUACAACCUAUGCCUAACGUACCCC